AUGAACGCUGGCGGCGUGCCUCAUACAUGCAAGUCGAGCGAACAGACGAGGAGCUUGCUCCUCUGACGUUAGCGGCGGACGGGUGAGUAACACGUGGAUAACCUACCUAUAAGACUGGGAUAACUUCGGGAAACCGGAGCUAAUACCGGAUAAUAUAUUGAACCGCAUGGUUCCAUAGUGAAAGACGGUUUUGCUGUCACUUAUAGAUGGAUCCGCGCCGCAUUAGCUAGUUGGUAAGGUAACGGCUUACCAAGGCGACGAUGCGUAGCCGACCUGAGAGGGUGAUCGGCCAAACUGGAACUGAGACACGGUCCCGACUCCUACGGGAGGCAGCAGUAGGGAAUCUUCCGCAAUGGGCGAAAGCCUGACGGAGCAACGCCGCGUGAGUGAUGAAGGUCUUCGGAUCGUAAAACUCUGUUAUUAGGGAAGAACAAAUGUGUAAGUAACUAUGCACGUCUUGACGGUACCUAAUCAGAAAGCCACGGCUAACUACGUG
RNAcentral lists this ribosomal RNA (496 nucleotides) under uncultured bacterium. RNAcentral's name for it is "partial 16S ribosomal RNA". It matches the Rfam family "Bacterial small subunit ribosomal RNA", at positions 29 to 507 of the family's 1533-position model. The record is from RNAcentral.